CACCGGGGGUAGACAACAGGGAUUGCCUCAGUAACGGCGAGUGAAGCGGCAAAAGCUCAAAUUUUAAAGCUGACAUCUUCGGUGUCCGCGUUGUAAUUUUGUGAGGCAUCUCCGGGUAGGGCGCCGGCCUAAGUUCCUUGGAACAGGACGUCACAGAGGGUGAGAAUCCCGUGCUUGGCUGGCUGUCCCCGUCCAUGUGAGGUGUCUUCGACGAGUCGAGUUGUUUGGGAAUGCAGCUCAAAAUGGGUGGUAAAUUUCAUCUAAAGCUAAAUAUUGGUGGGAGACCGAUAGCGCACAAGUAGAGUGAUCGAAAGAUGAAAAGCACUUUGAAAAUAGAGUUAAAAAGUACGUGAAAUUGUUGAAAGGGAAGCGCUUGAGACCAGACUUCGGUAAGGGGUGAUCAGCCGUCCUUCUGGGCGGUGCACUUGCCCCCCUCCGGGCCAGCAUCGGUUGAGGCGGCGGGAUAAAGGUCCCGGGAAUGUGGCUCCUUCACGGGAGUGUUAUAGCCCGGGUGAAUGCCGCCAGCUUCGACCGAGGACCGCACCCGCAAGGGUUAGGAUGCUUGGCAUAAUGGUCUUCAGCGACCCGUCUUGAAACACGGACCAAGGAGUCUAACAUCUAUGCGAGUGUUUGGGUGUCAAACCCUUGCGCGAAAUGAAAGUGAACGGAGGUGGGAACCCGCAAGGGCGCACCAUCGACCGGUCCCGAAGUCUUCUGAAGGAUCUGAGUAGGAGCAUAGCUGUUGGGACCCGAAAGAUGGUGAACUAUGCCUGAAUAGGGUGAAGCCAGAGGAAACUCUGGUGGAGGCUCGCAGCGGUUCUGACGUGCAAAUCGAUCGUCAAAUUUGGGUAUAGGGGCGAAAGACUAAUCGAACCAUGCUAGUGCCC
Molecule: ribosomal RNA, 887 nt
Filed under: Morchella sp. Mel-23
Lineage: Eukaryota; Fungi; Ascomycota; Pezizomycetes; Pezizales; Morchellaceae
Description: eukaryotic LSU rRNA
Rfam family: Eukaryotic large subunit ribosomal RNA
Source: RNAcentral